This 827-nucleotide ribosomal RNA is filed under the name uncultured bacterium. RNAcentral describes it as "bacterial SSU rRNA". It matches the Rfam family "Bacterial small subunit ribosomal RNA", at positions 57 to 884 of the family's 1533-position model. The record is from RNAcentral.
GGGAAGCGGUAUCGAAAGCUUGCUUUCGGUAGCCGGCGACCGGCGCACGGGUGAGUAACGCGUAUCGAACCUGCCUCAUACUCGGGAAUAGCCUUGCGAAAGUAAGAUUAAUGCCCGGUGUUUUCAGAGUCCCGCAUGAGGCUUUGAACAAAGAUUUAUCGGUAUGAGAUGGCGAUGCGUCCCAUUAGCUUGUUGGCGGGGUAACGGCCCACCAAGGCAUCGAUGGGUAGGGGUUCUGAGAGGAAGGUCCCCCACAUUGGAACUGAGACACGGUCCAAACUCCUACGGGAGGCAGCAGUGAGGAAUAUUGGUCAAUGGGCGGAAGCCUGAACCAGCCAAGUAGCGUGCAGGAAGACGGCCCUCCGGGUUGUAAACUGCUUUUAGUUGGGAAUAAAACGGGGCUCGUGAGCCCCCUUGCAUGUACCAUCAGAAAAAGGACCGGCUAAUUCCGUGCCAGCAGCCGCGGUAAUACGGAAGGUUCGGGCGUUAUCCGGAUUUAUUGGGUUUAAAGGGAGCGCAGGCGGACCUUUAAGUCAGCUGUGAAAUACGGCGGCUCAACCGUCGAACUGCAGUUGAUACUGGAGGUCUUGAGUGCACACAGGGAUGCUGGAAUUCAUGGUGUAGCGGUGAAAUGCUCAGAUAUCAUGAAGAACUCCGAUCGCGAAGGCAGGCAUCCGGGGUGCAACUGACGCUGAGGCUCGAAAGUGCGGGUAUCAAACAGGAUUAGAUACCCUGGUAGUCCGCACAGUAAACGAUGAAUACUCGCGGUUUGCGAUACAGUGUAAGCCGCCAAGCGAAAGCGUUAAGUAUUCCACCUGGGGAGUACG